GUGUCAGCAGCCGCGGUAAUACGUAGGGGGCAAGCGUUGUCCGGAUUUAUUGGGCGUAAAGAGCGUGUAGGCGGCUAGGUAGGUCCGUUGUGAAAACUCGAGGCUCAACCUCGAGACGCCGGUGGAAACCAUCUAGCUAGAGUCCGGAAGAGGAGAGUGGAAUUCCUGGUGUAGCGGUGAAAUGCGCAGAUAUCAGGAAGAACACCCGUGGCGAAGGCGGCUCUCUGGUACGUGACUGACGCUGAGACGCGAAAGCGUGGGGAGCGAACAGGAUUAGAUACCCCUGUAGUCC
This 292-nucleotide ribosomal RNA is filed under the name uncultured bacterium. Its description in RNAcentral is "partial 16S ribosomal RNA". It matches the Rfam family "Bacterial small subunit ribosomal RNA", at positions 505 to 796 of the family's 1533-position model. The record is from RNAcentral.